This 258-nucleotide ribosomal RNA is filed under the name Triticum aestivum (bread wheat). Its description in RNAcentral is "partial small subunit ribosomal RNA". Lineage: Eukaryota; Viridiplantae; Streptophyta; Magnoliopsida; Poales; Poaceae. The record is from RNAcentral.
AUGCAAGUGCAGGGGGCUGCUACCAUACGGCUUUGUCUUGCGAAUCAGGUCAUGUAUCAUGUCAUGGAUGAAGAUUCUCCUAGGAAAAUUUGGGACAAGUUGGCAAGUCGUUAUAUGUCCAAGUCAGCGACCAAUAAGCUGUAUUUGAAGCAGAAGUUCUAUGGGCUGAAGAUGCAGGAGGGGUCGAAUCUUGUGGAGCACAUGAAUACCUUUAAAUCAGUUGGUCACGGAUCUAGCGUGUUUGGAUGUGAAGAUUGA